AAUGGGUCAGCGACUUAUAUUCUGUAGCAAGGUUAACCGAAUAGGGGAGCCGCAGGGAAACCGAGUCUUAAUUGGGCGUUAAGUUGCAGGGUAUAGACCCGAAACCCGGUGAUCUAGCCAUGGGCAGGUUGAAGGUUGGGUAACACUAACUGGAGGACCGAACCGACUAAUGUUGAAAAAUUAGCGGAUGACCUGUGGCUGGGGGUGAAAGGCCAAUCAAACCGGGAGAUAGCUGGUUCUCCCCGAAAGCUAUUUAGGUAGCGCCUCGUGAAUUCAUCUCCGGGGGUAGAGCACUGUUUCGGCUAGGGGGCCAUCCCGGCUUACCAACCCGAUGCAAACUGCGAAUACCGGAGAAUGUUAUCACGGGAGACACACGGCGGGUGCUAACGUCCGUCGUGAAGAGGGAAACAACCCAGACCGCCAGCUAAGGUCCCAAAGUCAUGGUUAAGUGGGAAACGAUGUGGGAAGGCCCAGACAGCCAGGAUGUUGGCUUAGAAGCAGCCAUCAUUUAAAGAAAGCGUAAUAGCUCACUGGUCGAGUCGGCCUGCGCGGAAGAUGUAACGGGGCUAAACCAUG
Molecule: ribosomal RNA, 576 nt
Filed under: Salmonella enterica
Lineage: Bacteria; Pseudomonadati; Pseudomonadota; Gammaproteobacteria; Enterobacterales; Enterobacteriaceae
Description: partial 23S ribosomal RNA
Rfam family: Bacterial large subunit ribosomal RNA
Source: RNAcentral